CUGACCCUACGGGAGGCAGCAGUGAGGAAUAUUGGUCAAUGGGCGCGAGUCUGAACCAGCCAAGUAGCGUGAAGGAUGACUGCCCUAUGGGUUGUAAACUUCUUUUAUAAAGGAAUAAAACGAGGCACGUGUGCCCUUUUGCAUGUACUUUAUGAAUAAGGAUCGGCUAACCCCGUGCCAGCAGCCGCGGUAAUACGGAGGAUCCGAGCGUUAUCCGGAUUUAUUGGGUUUAAAGGGAGCGUAGAUGGGUUGUUAAGUCAGUUGUGAAAGUUUGCGGCUCAACCGUAAAAUUGCAAUUGAUACUG
RNAcentral lists this ribosomal RNA (305 nucleotides) under uncultured bacterium. RNAcentral describes it as "bacterial SSU rRNA". It matches the Rfam family "Bacterial small subunit ribosomal RNA", at positions 332 to 635 of the family's 1533-position model. The record is from RNAcentral.